RNAcentral lists this microRNA precursor (101 nucleotides) under Marmota monax (woodchuck). Lineage: Eukaryota; Metazoa; Chordata; Mammalia; Rodentia; Sciuridae. The record is from RNAcentral.
AGAGGGACAGCUGGGUCAAAUGGUGGCUCCAUUCCCAAUUUUCUGAGAAAUCUCCAUACUUCUUUCCAUAUUGGCUGCACCUUUGCAGUUCCACCAGCAGU